This 75-nucleotide transfer RNA is filed under the name Slackia equolifaciens. RNAcentral's name for it is "tRNA-Val". It matches the Rfam family "tRNA". Rfam says of the family: Transfer RNA (tRNA) molecules are approximately 80 nucleotides in length. Their secondary structure includes four short double-helical elements and three loops (D, anti-codon, and T loops). Lineage: Bacteria; Bacillati; Actinomycetota; Coriobacteriia; Eggerthellales; Eggerthellaceae. The record is from RNAcentral.
GGGCGUUUAGCGCAGCGGGAGCGCACUUCCUUCACACGGAAGGGGUCACAGGUUCAAAUCCUGUAACGCCCACCA